This 492-nucleotide ribosomal RNA is filed under the name uncultured bacterium. Its description in RNAcentral is "partial 16S ribosomal RNA". It matches the Rfam family "Bacterial small subunit ribosomal RNA", at positions 29 to 507 of the family's 1533-position model. The record is from RNAcentral.
AGUGAACGCUGGCGGUAGGCCUAACACAUGCAAGUCGAACGGCAGCACAGUAAGAGCUUGCUCUUACGGGUGGCGAGUGGCGGACGGGUGAGGAAUACAUCGGAAUCUACUUUUUCGUGGGGGAUAACGUAGGGAAACUUACGCUAAUACCGCAUACGACCUACGGGUGAAAGCAGGGGAUCUUCGGACCUUGCGCGAUUGAAUGAGCCGAUGUCGGAUUAGCUAGUUGGCGGGGUAAAGGCCCACCAAGGCGACGAUCCGUAGCUGGUCUGAGAGGAUGAUCAGCCACACUGGACCUGAGACACGGUCCAGACUCCUACGGGAGGCACCAGUGGGGAAUAUUGGACAAUGGGCGCAAGCCUGAUCCAGCCAUACCGCGUGGGUGAAGAAGGCCUUCGGGUUGUAAAGCCCUUUUGUUGGGAAGAAAAAGCAGCAGGUUAAUACCCCGCUGUUCUGACGGUACCCAAAGAAUAAGCACCGGCUAACUUCGUG